CUGUCCCUGACUGUCCCCAGGCUGUCCCUGUCCCUGGGCUGUCCCUGUCCCUGACUGUCCCUGACUGUCCCCGGGCCGUCCGUGUCCCCCAGGCCGUGUCGGGGAAGUUCACGCCCAUCACGCAGUGGCUUUACUUCGACGCGCUCGAGUGUCUGCCCGAGGAGAACCGUGACACGCUGCUGACCGAGGAGCAGUGCCGGCCGCGCAACAGCCGCUACGACGGGCAGAUCGCCGUGUUCGGGGCCGAGCUGCAGGCCAAGCUGGGCGCCCAGAAGUACUUCGUGGUCAGUGUCCCCAUGUCCCCAGCAUCCUCACGUGUGUUCUCCAUCAUCCUGGAGUCUCUUGUGUUGUCACCCGUUCCUCAAACGUCACCAAAUUUCCCUUCAGAGAUUUACAGGCGUCACCUCUCCCACCUGCACGUCCCCAGCUCUCCUGGGCCACCCUAAGUGUCCCCACACGUCUCUUCUGUGUUCCAUGGUGUCCUCACACGUUUCACGAUUGUUCCUUCAAGUCAUGUGCAUGUCCUCAAUGUCCCUCACGUCCCCAACUCUGAUCAAGCGUCCUCAGAGUGUCCCAAAGUGUCCCUUCACCCCCAUUCCUUCCCACCAUGUGUCCCCAACCCUGUGAGCCACCUCAUGCUGUAUCCCCACGUGUCCCCAGCCCUGUGAGCCACCUCGUGUUCUGUCCCCACACGUCCCCAACCCUGUGAGCCACCUCAUGCUGGGUCCCCAUGUGUCCCCAGCCCCGUGAGCCACCUCGUGCUCUGUCCCCACGUGUCCCCAACCCUCCUGGGCCACCUCAUGCUGUAUCCCCACAUGUUCCCAGCCCUGUGAGCCACCUCAUGCUCUGUCCCCACAUGUCCCCAGCCCCGUGAGCCACCUCGUGCUGUGUCCCCACGUGUCCCCAACCCUCCUGGGCCACCUCAUGCUCUGUCCCCACAUGUCCCCAGCCCUGUGAGCCACCUCGUGCUCUGUCCCCACAUGUCCCCAGCCCUCCUGGGCCACCUCGUGCUGUGUCCCCACGUGUCCCCAGCCCUGUGA
This 1040-nucleotide long non-coding RNA is filed under the name Chloebia gouldiae (Gouldian finch). RNAcentral's name for it is "Erythrura gouldiae (Gouldian finch) lncRNA (ENSEGOG00005018250.1)". The record is from RNAcentral. Lineage: Eukaryota; Metazoa; Chordata; Aves; Passeriformes; Passeridae.